Molecule: long non-coding RNA, 151 nt
Organism: Micropterus dolomieu (smallmouth bass)
Lineage: Eukaryota; Metazoa; Chordata; Actinopteri; Centrarchiformes; Centrarchidae
Exons: 3
Source: RefSeq, a predicted model, not a curated record
UUGUCGGACCACUUUGACUAUGGACCCAUUGGCUAGCAAAAAUGUUAGCAAACAAGUAAGCUAAGUGUGCUGUGUGUGAGCUGCUUUGAUCACACCAACUGUAUGACUGACCAGUACAUUCUGUUCAGCUACCACAGAAAACCAAAAAAAU